RNAcentral lists this ribosomal RNA (399 nucleotides) under Apedinella sp. RNAcentral's name for it is "partial small subunit ribosomal RNA". It matches the Rfam family "Eukaryotic small subunit ribosomal RNA", at positions 582 to 975 of the family's 1831-position model. The record is from RNAcentral. Lineage: Eukaryota; Dictyochophyceae; Pedinellales.
AUUCCAGCUCCAAUAGCGUAUAUUAAUGUUGUUGCAGUUAAAAAGCUCGUAGUUGGAUUUCUGGGUUCUUCGCUAGCUUUGGUCCGCAAGGGCUUCAGUGGGCUGUUUGAAUCCAUCCUCAGGGGGACCCAUGCUGGUAUUCAUUUAUCGGUGUGGGAACGCCUGUCGUUUACUGUGAACAAAUUAGAGUGUUCAAAGCAAGGUGUACUUGAAUACAUUAGCAUGGAAUAAUAAGAUAGGACUUUGGUGGUUCUUUCGAGAUAUUUUGUUGGUUUGCACGCCAAAGUAAUGAUUAAUAGGAGCAGUUGGGGGUAUUCGUAUUCAAUUGUCAGAGGUGAAAUUCUUGGAUUUAUAGAAGACGAACUACUGCGAAAGCAUUUACCAAGGAUGUUUUCAUUA